GUCACGAUAGCUCAACUGGUUAGAGCAGCGGCUUAUCGAGCUGAAGAUCGUGGGUUCGAAUCCCGCUCGUGACA
RNAcentral lists this non-coding RNA (74 nucleotides) under Cimex lectularius (bed bug). RNAcentral's name for it is "tRNA". It matches the Rfam family "tRNA". From Rfam's summary of the family: Transfer RNA (tRNA) molecules are approximately 80 nucleotides in length. The record is from Rfam by way of RNAcentral. Lineage: Eukaryota; Metazoa; Arthropoda; Insecta; Hemiptera; Cimicidae.